Molecule: ribosomal RNA, 484 nt
Filed under: uncultured bacterium
Lineage: Bacteria
Description: partial 16S ribosomal RNA
Rfam family: Bacterial small subunit ribosomal RNA
Source: RNAcentral
AUUGAACGCUGGCGGCAUGCUUUACACAUGCAAGUCGGACGGCAGCGCGGGCUUCGGCCUGGCGGCGAGUGGCGAACGGGUGAGUAAUACAUCGGAACGUGCCCAGUAGUGGGGGAUAGCUCGGCGAAAGCCGGAUUAAUACCGCAUACGACCUGAGGGUGAAAGCGGGGGAUCUUCGGACCUCGCGCUAUUGGAGCGGCCGAUGGCAGAUUAGCUAGUUGGUGGGGUAAGGGCCUACCAAGGCGACGACCUGUAGCUGGUCUGAGAGGACGACCAGCCACACUGGGACUGAGACACGGCCCAGACUCCUACGGGAGGCAGCAGUGGGGAAUUUUGGACAAUGGGCGAAAGCCUGAUCCAGCAAUGCCGCGUGUGUGAUGAAGGCCUUCGGGUUGUAAAGCACUUUUGGCGGGAACGAAAAGGACUGUGCCAAUACCACGGUUCGAUGACGGUACCCGCAGAAUAAGCACCGGCUAACUACGUG